UACGUAGGGGGCGAGCGUUGUCCGGAUUUAUUGGGCGUAAAGAGCUCGUAGGCGGCUGUUCAAGUCGAACGUGAAAACUCGGAGCUCAACUCCGAGCCUGCGUUCGAUACUGGGCGGCUAGAGUCUGGUAGGGGGACCUGGAAUUCCUGGUGUAGCGGUGGAAUGCGUAGAUAUCGGUAGGAACACCAGUGGCGAAGGCGGUCUCCUGGGGCAUUCUUGACGCUGAGGCGCGAAAGCUGGGGGAGCAAACGGG
Molecule: ribosomal RNA, 253 nt
Filed under: uncultured bacterium
Lineage: Bacteria
Description: partial 16S ribosomal RNA
Rfam family: Bacterial small subunit ribosomal RNA
Source: RNAcentral